UUUGGAGAGUUUGAUCCUGGCUCAGGACGAACGCUGGCGGCGUGCCUAACACAUGCAAGUCGUACGGUGAUGCCUGGUCCGCUGUUGUGGUGGGCUGGGUGGAUGAGUGGCGAACGGGUGAGUAACACGUGAGCAACCUGCCCUCCUCUCCUGGAUAACCUCAUGAAAGUGGGGCUAAUACGGGGUGUGCUCGUGCUGGUCGCAUGGCUGGUGCGGGAUAGGGCCUGCCUUGGGUGGGUCUGGUGGGGGAUGGGCUCGCGGCCUAUCAGCUUGUUGGUGGGGUGAUGGCCUACCAAGGCGGUGACGGGUAGCCGGCCUGAGAGGGUGGGCGGCCACACUGGGACUGAGACACGGCCCAGACUCCUGCGGGAGGCAGCAGUGGGGGAUAUUGCACAAUGGGCGGAAGCCUGAUGCAGCGACGCCGCGUGAGGGACGGAGGCCUUCGGGUCGUGAACCUCUUUCGCCAGCGGAGAAGGUCCUGCCCGUGGUGGCGGGGCUGACGGUAGCUGGGUAAGAAGCGCCGGCUAACUACGUGCCAGCAGCCGCGGUAAUACGUAGGGCGCUAGCGUUGUCCGGAGUUACUGGGCGUAAAGGGCUUGUAGGCGGCUGGUCGCGCCUGCCGUGAAAUGUCCCGGCUCAACCGGGGAGUGCGGUGGGUACGGGCCGGCUUGAGUGCGGUAGGGGAGGCCGGAACUCCUGGUGUAGCGGUGGAAUGCGCAGAUAUCAGGAGGAACACCGGUGGCGAAGGCGGGUCUCUGGGCCGUUACUGACGCUGAGGAGCGAAAGCGUGGGGAGCGAACAGGAUUAGAUACCCUGGUAGUCCGCGCCGUAAACGUUGGGCACUAGGUGUGGGGGCCUUUUCCGGGGCUCCCGCGCCGCAGCUAACGCAUUAAGUGCCCCGCCUGGGGAGUACGGCCGCAAGGCUAAAACUCAAAGGAAUUGACGGGGGCCCGCACAAGCGGCGGAGCAUGCGGAUUAAUUCGAUGCAACGCGAAGAACCUUACCAGGGCUUGACAUGUGGGCGCGGGCCGCGGAGACGUGGUCUUCUCCUGUCCUCUCGUGUUUGCGGGGGGUGGGGGGUGCCCUCACAGGUGGUGCAUGGUUGUCGUCAGCUCGUGUCGUGAGAUGUUGGGUUAAGUCCCGCAACGAGCGCAACCCCUGUCCCGUGUUGCCAGCACGUGGUGGUGGGGACUCUCGGGAGACUGCCGGGGUCAACUCGGAGGAGGGUGGGGACGACGUCAAAUCAUCAUGCCCCUUAUGUCCUGGGCUUCACGCAUGCUACAAUGGCCGGUACAGAGGGCUGCGGUGCCGCGAGGCGGAGCGAAUCCCUUAAAGCCGGUCUCAGUUCGGAUCGGUGUCUGCAACUCGACACCGUGAAGCCGGAGUCGCUAGUAAUCGCAGAUCAGCACUGCUGCGGUGAAUACGUUCUCGGGCCUUGUACACACCGCCCGUCACGUCAUGAAAGCCGGUGACGCCCGAAGCCCGUGGCCCUACGGGGAGCGGUCGAAGGCGGGGCUGGUGAUUGGGACGAAGUCGUAACAAGGUAGCCGUACCGGAAGGUGCGGCUGGAUCACCUCCUUUCUA
This 1584-nucleotide ribosomal RNA is filed under the name Actinomyces lilanjuaniae. Its description in RNAcentral is "bacterial SSU rRNA". It matches the Rfam family "Bacterial small subunit ribosomal RNA". Lineage: Bacteria; Bacillati; Actinomycetota; Actinomycetes; Actinomycetales; Actinomycetaceae. The record is from RNAcentral.